CUACUUUUAUUUUGAUUUUAAACAUAUUUUUAGCUUUAUUCCCAAGACGCUAAUAAUACCUCAACACUCACAAAUUAGGUAUCCCACUCUCUCUCUCUCUCUCACCCCACAGUAAAAACCCCGUUCUCUGCAUUUUGGCUCUUUUCCUCUUCUUCUCACUAAAUCUCGCGCAAAUCGUCGCCGGAAUUUCACUAGUUCAUCGUAGUCGGUGGCUCUUUUUCCCCUCCUUUCUGUCUAUUCUUCUCGCCAGGUCUCCGAUGAAGCUCGCAGGUUCAUCCAGAUACGACCGCGAAACAGAUGGGCGUAUUCUUGUGGCAAAAAUUGAUUGAACUGAAGAAGUUGAUUUGUUUAGAAGGUUCCUGACAACCUUGCCAUAUCAGCUCGUUCGACAGCUCAUUCAUUUGAUGCUUCUCAGAUGAACAUGUCACAUGUAAUUUCUUGGUUUUCGACUUUUCGUUUGGGAACAAGAAAUUAGAGCUGCUGAGGGAAUGAUCUUUGGAAAAAGAAAUUAUGGGAGAUGAAGAUGAGUUUUAGAAAUUAGUUAUAAGAUCUCCCCAAAUAGAAGCUUUGUCAUGAUAAAAUACAUAGCAUUUUUGGUAUUUUUAUUGAUGUUGAGAAGGCAGGCUCAAUGCAAAUCGCUGAGUGCUCAUUCAAAAAUAUUGCAAAGAUUGACUAUGAUUGUUUAUACUGUUAUUGAAUAAUUCUUUGGAAUUAUAAUUCAUUUGAUGAUGUAAAUAUUGAGUUA
Long non-coding RNA from Nicotiana tabacum (common tobacco), 745 nucleotides. RefSeq lists it as uncharacterized. The record is from RefSeq and is a predicted model, not a curated record. NCBI's taxonomy places the organism in Eukaryota, Viridiplantae, Streptophyta, Magnoliopsida, Solanales, Solanaceae.